GGGUUGUGAGGUUAAGCGACUAAGCGUACACGGUGGAUGCCCUGGCAGUCAGAGGCGAUGAAGGACGUGCUAAUCUGCGAUAAGCGUCGGUAAGGUGAUAUGAACCGUUAUAACCGGCGAUUUCCGAAUGGGGAAACCCAGUGUGUUUCGACACACUAUCAUUAACUGAAUCCAUAGGUUAAUGAGGCGAACCGGGGGAACUGAAACAUCUAAGUACCCCGAGGAAAAGAAAUCAACCGAGAUUCCCCCAGUAGCGGCGAGCGAACGGGGAGCAGCCCAGAGCCUGAAUCAGUGUGUGUGUUAGUGGAAGCGUCUGGAAAGGCGCGCGAUACAGGGUGACAGCCCCGUACACAAAAAUGCACAUGCUGUGAGCUCGAUGAGUAGGGCGGGACACGUGGUAUCCUGUCUGAAUAUGGGGGGACCAUCCUCCAAGGCUAAAUACUCCUGACUGACCGAUAGUGAACCAGUACCGUGAGGGAAAGGCGAAAAGAACCCCGGCGAGGGGAGUGAAAAAGAACCUGAAACCGUGUACGUACAAGCAGUGGGAGCACGCUUAGGCGUGUGACUGCGUACCUUUUGUAUAAUGGGUCAGCGACUUAUAUUCUGUAGCAAGGUUAACCGAAUAGGGGAGCCGAAGGGAAACCGAGUCUUAACUGGGCGUUAAGUUGCAGGGUAUAGACCCGAAACCCGGUGAUCUAGCCAUGGGCAGGUUGAAGGUUGGGUAACACUAACUGGAGGACCGAACCGACUAAUGUUGAAAAAUUAGCGGAUGACUUGUGGCUGGGGGUGAAAGGCCAAUCAAACCGGGAGAUAGCUGGUUCUCCCCGAAAGCUAUUUAGGUAGCGCCUCGUGAAUUCAUCUCCGGGGGUAGAGCACUGUUUCGGCAAGGGGGUCAUCCCGACUUACCAACCCGAUGCAAACUGCGAAUACCGGAGAAUGUUAUCACGGGAGACACACGGCGGGUGCUAACGUCCGUCGUGAAGAGGGAAACAACCCAGACCGCCAGCUAAGGUCCCAAAGUCAUGGUUAAGUGGGAAACGAUGUGGGAAGGCCCAGACAGCCAGGAUGUUGGCUUAGAAGCAGCCAUCAUUUAAAGAAAGCGUAAUAGCUCACUGGUCGAGUCGGCCUGCGCGGAAGAUGUAACGGGGCUAAACCAUGCACCGAAGCUGCGGCAGCGACGCUUAUGCGUUGUUGGGUAGGGGAGCGUUCUGUAAGCCUGUGAAGGUGUGCUGUGAGGCAUGCUGGAGGUAUCAGAAGUGCGAAUGCUGACAUAAGUAACGAUAAAGCGGGUGAAAAGCCCGCUCGCCGGAAGACCAAGGGUUCCUGUCCAACGUUAAUCGGGGCAGGGUGAGUCGACCCCUAAGGCGAGGCCGAAAGGCGUAGUCGAUGGGAAACAGGUUAAUAUUCCUGUACUUGGUGUUACUGCGAAGGGGGGACGGAGAAGGCUAUGUUGGCCGGGCGACGGUUGUCCCGGUUUAAGCGUGUAGGCUGGUUUUCCAGGCAAAUCCGGAAAAUCAAGGCUGAGGCGUGAUGACGAGGCACUACGGUGCUGAAGCAACAAAUGCCCUGCUUCCAGGAAAAGCCUCUAAGCAUCAGGUAACAUCAAAUCGUACCCCAAACCGACACAGGUGGUCAGGUAGAGAAUACCAAGGCGCUUGAGAGAACUCGGGUGAAGGAACUAGGCAAAAUGGUGCCGUAACUUCGGGAGAAGGCACGCUGAUAUGUAGGUGAAGUCCCUUGCGGAUGGAGCUGAAAUCAGUCGAAGAUACCAGCUGGCUGCAACUGUUUAUUAAAAACACAGCACUGUGCAAACACGAAAGUGGACGUAUACGGUGUGACGCCUGCCCGGUGCCGGAAGGUUAAUUGAUGGGGUCAGCGCAAGCGAAGCUCUUGAUCGAAGCCCCGGUAAACGGCGGCCGUAACUAUAACGGUCCUAAGGUAGCGAAAUUCCUUGUCGGGUAAGUUCCGACCUGCACGAAUGGCGUAAUGAUGGCCAGGCUGUCUCCACCCGAGACUCAGUGAAAUUGAACUCGCUGUGAAGAUGCAGUGUACCCGCGGCAAGACGGAAAGACCCCGUGAACCUUUACUAUAGCUUGACACUGAACAUUGAGCCUUGAUGUGUAGGAUAGGUGGGAGGCUUUGAAGUGUGGACGCCAGUCUGCAUGGAGCCGACCUUGAAAUACCACCCUUUAAUGUUUGAUGUUCUAACGUUGACCCCUAAUCGGGGUUGCGGACAGUGUCUGGUGGGUAGUUUGACUGGGGCGGUCUCCUCCUAAAGAGUAACGGAGGAGCACGAAGGUUGGCUAAUCCUGGUCGGACAUCAGGAGGUUAGUGCAAUGGCAUAAGCCAGCUUGACUGCGAGCGUGACGGCGCGAGCAGGUGCGAAAGCAGGUCAUAGUGAUCCGGUGGUUCUGAAUGGAAGGGCCAUCGCUCAACGGAUAAAAGGUACUCCGGGGAUAACAGGCUGAUACCGCCCAAGAGUUCAUAUCGACGGCGGUGUUUGGCACCUCGAUGUCGGCUCAUCACAUCCUGGGGCUGAAGUAGGUCCCAAGGGUAUGGCUGUUCGCCAUUUAAAGUGGUACGCGAGCUGGGUUUAGAACGUCGUGAGACAGUUCGGUCCCUAUCUGCCGUGGGCGCUGGAGAACUGAGGGGGGCUGCUCCUAGUACGAGAGGACCGGAGUGGACGCAUCACUGGUGUUCGGGUUGUCAUGCCAAUGGCACUGCCCGGUAGCUAAAUGCGGAAGAGAUAAGUGCUGAAAGCAUCUAAGCACGAAACUUGCCCCGAGAUGAGUUCUCCCUGACUCCUUGAGAGUCCUGAAGGAACGUUGAAGACGACGACGUUGAUAGGCCGGGUGUGUAAGCGCAGCGAUGCGUUGAGCUAACCGGUACUAAUGAACCGUGAGGCUUAACCUUACAACGCCGAAGCUGUU
This 2930-nucleotide ribosomal RNA is filed under the name Escherichia coli. RNAcentral describes it as "23S ribosomal RNA". It matches the Rfam family "Bacterial large subunit ribosomal RNA". Lineage: Bacteria; Pseudomonadati; Pseudomonadota; Gammaproteobacteria; Enterobacterales; Enterobacteriaceae. The record is from RNAcentral.